Molecule: ribosomal RNA, 218 nt
Filed under: Prasinococcus capsulatus
Lineage: Eukaryota; Viridiplantae; Prasinodermophyta; Palmophyllophyceae; Prasinococcales; Prasinococcaceae
Description: partial Bacterial large subunit ribosomal RNA
Rfam family: Bacterial large subunit ribosomal RNA
Source: RNAcentral
UGCAUACAAACAGUAGGAGCGGACUUGUUCCGUGACUGCGUACCUUUUGUAUAAUGGGUCAGCGACUUAUUUUCAGUGGCGAGCUUAACCGAAUAGGGGAGGCGUAGCGAAAGCGAGUCUUAAUAGGGCGUCUAGUCGCUGGGAAUAGACCCGAAACCGGGCGAUCUAUCCAUGGGCAGGUUGAAGGUUGGGUAACACUAACUGGAGGACCGAACCGA